This 506-nucleotide ribosomal RNA is filed under the name uncultured bacterium. Its description in RNAcentral is "partial 16S ribosomal RNA". It matches the Rfam family "Bacterial small subunit ribosomal RNA", at positions 29 to 523 of the family's 1533-position model. The record is from RNAcentral.
AGUGAACGCUGGCGGUAGGCCUAACACAUGCAAGUCGAACGGCAGCACAGGAGAGCUUGCUCUCUGGGUGGCGAGUGGCGGACGGGUGAGGAAUACAUCGGAAUCUACUCUGUCGUGGGGGAUAACGUAGGGAAACUUACGCUAAUACCGCAUACGACCUACGGGUGACAGCAGGGGACCUUCGGGCCUUGCGCGAUUGAAUGAGCCGAUGUCGGAUUAGCUAGUUGGCGGGGUAAAGGCCCACCAAGGCGACGAUCCGUAGCUGGUCUGAGGGGCUGAUCAGCCACACUGGAACUGAGACACGGUCCAGACUCCUACGGGAGGCAGCAGUGGGGAAUAUUGGACAGUGGGCGCAAGCCUGAUCUAGCCAUACCGCGUGGGUGAAGAAGGCCUUCGGGUUGUAAAGCCCUUUUGUUGGGAAAGAAAUCCAGCUGGCUAAUACCCGGUUGGGACGACGGUACCCAAAGAAUAAGCACCGGCUAACUUCGUGCCAGCAGCCGCAGUAA